This 254-nucleotide ribosomal RNA is filed under the name uncultured bacterium. Its description in RNAcentral is "partial 16S ribosomal RNA". It matches the Rfam family "Bacterial small subunit ribosomal RNA", at positions 524 to 776 of the family's 1533-position model. The record is from RNAcentral.
UACGGAGGGGGCUAGCGUUGUUCGGAAUUACUGGGCGUAAAGGGCGCGUAGGCGGUGCGAUCAGUCAGGCGUGAAAGGCCCGGGCUCAACCCGGGGACUGCGCUUGAUACUGUUGCGCUGUGAGUCCGGGAGAGGAUGGCGGAAUUCCCAGUGUAGAGGUGAAAUUCGUAGAUAUUGGGAAGAACACCGGUGGCGAAGGCGGCCAUCUGGACCGGCACUGACGCUGAGGCGCGAAAGCGUGGGGAGCAAACAGG